GAGUCGUAACAAGGUUUCCGUAGGUGAACCUGCGGAAGGAUCAUUACAGUAGUCACCCGGGUUGCCGCAAGGCCUCCCGGGUAACCUACCACCCUUUGUUUAUUACACUUUGUUGCUUUGGCAGGCCUGCCCUCGGGCUGCUGGCUCCGGCCGGCGAGCGUCUGCCAGAGGACCUAAACUCUGUUUGUCUAUACUGUCUGAGUACUAUAUAAUAGUUAAAACUUUCAACAACGGAUCUCUUGGUUCUGGCAUCGAUGAAGAACGCAGCGAAAUGCGAUAAGUAAUGUGAAUUGCAGAAUUCAGUGAAUCAUCGAAUCUUUGAACGCACAUUGCGCCCCCUGGUAUUCCGGGGGGCAUGCCUGUCCGAGCGUCAUUACAACCCUCAAGCUCAGCUUGGUAUUGGGCCCCGCCGACCCGGCGGGCCCUAAAGUCAGUGGCGGUGCCGUCCAGCUCCGAGCGUAGUAAUUCUUCUCGCUCUGGAGGUCCGGUCGUGUGCUCGCCAGCAACCCCCAAUUUUUUUCAGGUUGACCUCGGAUCAGGUAGGGAUACCCGCUGAACUUAA
Molecule: ribosomal RNA, 562 nt
Filed under: Leotiomycetes sp. ZZ-30
Lineage: Eukaryota; Fungi; Ascomycota; Leotiomycetes
Description: eukaryotic LSU rRNA
Rfam family: 5.8S ribosomal RNA (bases 220-373)
Source: RNAcentral